Molecule: ribosomal RNA, 253 nt
Filed under: uncultured bacterium
Lineage: Bacteria
Description: partial 16S ribosomal RNA
Rfam family: Bacterial small subunit ribosomal RNA
Source: RNAcentral
UACGUAGGUGGCAAGCGUUAUCCGGAAUUAUUGGGCGUAAAGAGCGCGCAGGUGGUUAAUUAAGUCUGAUGUGAAAGCCCACGGCUUAACCGUGGAGGGUCAUUGGAAACUGGUUGACUUGAGUGCAGAAGAGGGAAGUGGAAUUCCAUGUGUAGCGGUGAAAUGCGUAGAGAUAUGGAGGAACACCGGUGGCGAAAGCGGCUCUCUGGCCUGUAACUGACACUGAGGCUCGAAAGCGUGGGGAGCAAACAGG